Nerophis ophidion (straightnose pipefish) is the source of this 4662-nucleotide RNA transcript. It is a transcript of the gene named mitogen-activated protein kinase kinase kinase 20a, with no coding region annotated. The transcript is spliced from 21 exons. The record is from RefSeq and is a predicted model, not a curated record. Lineage: Eukaryota; Metazoa; Chordata; Actinopteri; Syngnathiformes; Syngnathidae.
CAGGCGGACAGGAAGAAGUUGUGCAAGCAGUAAAAGGCCGGUGUUGGCGGGCCAGAGUGUGUUGUAACAGUAACACACAAACAACAUUUACUGGAACACUUUCUUUUUACUUCUUCUCUGCCCUCACUUUGUGCUGCUUCUCCAACCAGCAGCUGCUUGAAGUCAGAACCUCGACAACGUCCAUGCAUGCGAAGCGGCGGCACUGAGUGUCAGAAUGAGAUGUCGUCUCAUAGCGGCUCCUUUGUGCAAAUCAACUUCGAUGACAUCCACUUCUUCGAGAACUGCGGCGGCGGCAGCUUCGGGAGCGUGUACAGGGCCAGGUGGAUCAGCCAGGACAAAGAGGUGGCGGUGAAAAAGCUGCUCAGGAUUGAGAACGAGGCUGAAAUCCUGAGCGUCCUGAGCCACCGCAACAUCAUCCAGUUUUAUGGCGCCAUCGUUGAGCCUCCCAACUAUGGAAUCGUUACAGAAUAUGCCAGCAAGGGAUCUCUCUACGACUUCCUGUCCUGUGCUGAGAGUGAAGAGGUGGACAUAAGCCACAUUAUGACCUGGGCUACAGAGAUCGCCAGAGGGAUGCACUAUUUGCACUCCGAGGCCCCCGUUAAAGUGAUCCACCGAGACCUGAAGUCAAGGAAUGUUGUCAUCACAGCAGACAAAGUCCUGAAGAUCUGUGAUUUCGGGGCUUCCAAGUUUCUGACCCACACCACCCACAUGUCUCUAGUGGGUACCUUUCCGUGGAUGGCGCCCGAGGUCAUCCAGAGUCUGCCCGUGUCUGAGACCUGUGACACCUUCUCCUACGCUGUGGUGCUGUGGGAAAUGCUGACUCGUGAGGUACCAUUCAAAGGACUGGAAGGCUUACAAGUGGCAUGGCUGGUUGUGGAGAAAGAAGAAAGGCUGACCAUCCCCAGCGGCUGCCCUGCCAGCUUUGCAGAGCUGAUGAGGAACUGCUGGAGGACAGAUCCAAAAGAGCGGCCGACGUUCAAGCGGAUCCUGUCUACUUUGGAGUCCAUGUGGAACGACAGCCAGCUCUCCAAACAGUGCAACUCUUUCCUCCACAACAAGUCUGAAUGGAGGUGUGAGAUCGAAGCCACGCUGGAGCGGCUGAAGAAGUUGGAGAGAGAACUGAGCAGCAAAGAGCAGGAGCUGAAGGUGCGGGAGCGCCGUCUUAAGAUGUGGGAGAGCAAACUCAUCCAACAAUCCAACAGCCCGCUGCUGCCCACUCUGGACAUCUACACAUGGACAGAGGAGCACGUGUUCUUCUGGAUGCAGCAAAUAUUCGGUGCAGAGGAGAGCGCCUGUGGCAUGCAGCUGUACGCCGACCUCUUUCAGGACAACCACAUCACCGGAAAGAGGCUCCUAUUGCUGUCGGAGAGUGACAUGCGGGACAUGGGCAUCAAGUCCAAAGGUCACGUCAUGCACCUGAAGAGCGAGAUUGAGAAGCUCACCAACGAUUACCUCGGCCUGGUCCACUUCCCACCCUUGCUCAAGGAUGAACUUGAAAACCAGGUGGACAGCAGUAAGAGUGUCAACCUGGAACUGGUGUUUGGCUACCACUGGAAGCCAGGGACCGGAAGAUCAGACUGCAAGUGGAAAAUGUUCCUGGAACUGGACGGAGACGACAUGGCCAUCACUUACAUCAAGGAGGUGAUGUUCAGCAGCAACCGGCCAGACGUGGAAACCACGCGGAUGACCAAGCCGCCAUUUGUGAUGGACAGGUGGGUAGUUGGGAUAGAAGCUGACCAGAGACUGGACUACACUGUCAGCUAUGAGAACGACGUCAAGUCGCCGAGGUCAACGAGACACAGCUGCUCUAUGACGUGGCGUCCCACUGGUGGACAGGACGACAUCAAAACCGUGGCCCUUGUGAUCCAAACAGCAGCAGCAAGCAAUGAUGACGUGAGCCCUGGGAGGAGAACGUCUAACUCUGGCAUCGAUGAAGCUUGGAUGCACAAAGUGAAGCGGCGGCAGAUGAGCAGUCAGGAAAAGCAUCAGAGCGGCGCCAUGACCGCCUCAGAGGCCCGCACUCUCCCUCAGUUCCUGUCGGCGCAUGAAAGCCAAGCGUCCACCUACGCCGCGGCGGCGCGGCGCUCGCCCGUCCACGCCCGCCUCGCCGCCUGGAGCGACCCCCGCAGCUCCUCGCCCGGCGCCGGCCUCUCGGCCAAACUGUGCCCGCUCCAGCUGGGGUCAAAGGGCAGCAGCCCGUGCAGCACCGCGUCAGAGAGCACGUCCGAGAGAGAGCGGCCGCUGAGCGCCGGCGUGCUGCACGCGGCCAACAAGGACGUCUUCUUUGGCGGCCGGGGACGAGGCAGCACCAGAGGAGGCCUCAGCAGGAGCCACAGAGGCCCUCGCCAGCCGGGCAGGCCGCGCUCCAACAGUUGCACUUCAGCACCUCAGAGCCGCCCCCGCAUCAUACCCGGGGUUUUGUCCGCCAGCGAGAACUCGGGCGAAGAAAGCGAGACGACCAAAGCGGGCUCCGACGGCGGCUGGAUCAAAGUGGAGCGCCACAAAAGAUUACCGCGCCAGGAUAAUAAAGCAGGGCGAGGUCGGCCCAGGAGAGGAGGGCGAGGAGGACGCGGGGGCAGAACGUGAAAGUUCUGAAGGACGCUGCUUGUGUUGACCACCGACAGCAGGGGCGUCCAAACUUUUUGCACUGAGGGCCGCACACGGAAAAAUAUUCGAAUUAGGCCCUGCGAUGAGGGAGCGACUUGUCCAGGGUGUACCCCGCCUUCCGCCCGAUUGAAGCUGAGAUAGGCACCAGCGCCCCCCGCGACCCCAAAAGGGAAUAAGCGGUAGGAAAUGGAUGGAUGGAAGAUUCGAAUUAGCUAGUUUUUCUCUUCUUUUUUUGGGUUGAAUUUAGAAUUUUAAAGAGUCGAAAUUGAAGAUAAACUAUGUUUCAAAAUUGAAUUUUUAUUUUUUUCGUGUUUUCUCCUCUUUUAAACCGUUCAAUUAAGUGUUUUUUCAUUUAUUCUCUACAAAAAACCUUCCUCAGAAGGAAAAAAAAAAUGUCUGAUGGAAUGACAGAAAUACCCUUUUUUUUCUUUGGAUAUUUAUCUGUUUCUAUAUAUAUUUAUUGUGAGAAAUAACUAAGAUGAUCAGUGUUUCCACAAAGAUAAAUAUCAUUAAUUAUUAAUAAUAACAUAGAGUUAAAAGUAAAUUGAGCAUUUUGGCUAUUUCUGGCAAUUUAUUUAAGUGUGUAUCGAACUGGUAGCCCUUGGCAUGAAUCAGUACCCAAGAAGUAGCUCUUGCUUUCAACAAGGUUGGAGACCCCUGAUCCAGACCCUUUUAUGUCAUUAAAAACUUGACUUCAAAUUCAGUUCCAACCAUACUUGCCAACCAUCCUGAAUUUCAGUGCCACUCCUGAAAAUCUGAGAUUUUAAUGGAAGCAUUCACAUACAAUGGUUUAUAUAGGGCACAGAGUGGGUGGGUACAGGCGGGCGUAGGGGCGUGGUGAUUGGCUCAUGUGUUACCUAGGAGGUGUUUCCGUCUGUGGCGGCAUGUUGAAAUGAUUUCACCGUGCUUGUUGAGGGAUGACAGGUCUGGAUGAUAUAUAAUAAACAGUUUGUAGCUGAGAUAGGCGCCAGCGCCCCCCGCGACCCCAAAAGGGAAUAAGCGGUUGAAAAAUGGAUGGAUGGAUGGCAAAUUCUUGCAUCCAGCACACCUUACAACAGUGGUAAUAAAAGAUGCAACCUAUGCUUGAAAGAGAAACUGUUUAUUAUAUAUCAUCCAGAUAUGUCAUCCCUCAACAAGCGCAGUGAAAUCAUUUCAACAUGCCGUCACAGACGGAAACACCUCCUAGGUAACACAUGAGCCAAUCACCACACCCCUACGCCUGCUUGUACCCACCCACUCUGUGCUCUAUAUAAACCAUUGUAUGUGAAUGCUUCCAUUAAAAUCCCCUGAUGAUUGAGGGAACCCCUCAUGAAACAGAUCUGUAGAGAUGAAGUAGUCUUGUGAUUUUUCCCACACCUACAUAUAUAUAUAUAUAUAUAUUAUGGCUGCGAAUCUUUGGGUGUCCCAUGUUUCGAUUCAAUAUCGAUUCUUUUUGGUCGCAAUUCGAUUAUAAAGUAUAUCGAUUUUUUUCGAUUCAACCCGAUUCUCGAUUCAAAAACGAUAUUUUUCCGAUUCAAAAGGAUUCUGUAUCCAUUCAAUACAUAGAUUUCAACAGGAUCUACCCCAAUUUGCUGACAUGCUAGCAGAGUAGUAGAUUUUUUUUAAAAAAGCUUUUAUAAUUGUAAAGGACAAUGUUUUAUCAACUGAUUGCAAUAAUGUACAUUUGUUUUAACUAUUAACGGAACCAAAAGUAUGACUUAUUUUAUCUUUGUGCAAACAUUGGACACAGUGUGUUGUCCAGCUUAUGAGAUGCGAUGCAAGUGUAAGCCACUGUGACACUAUUGUUCUUUUUGAUUUUUUAUAAAUGUCUAAUGAUAAUGUCAAUGAGGGAUUUUUGAUAACUAAUAUUGAUACUGUUGUUGAUAAUAUUCAUUUUUGUUUCACUACUUUUGGUUUGUUCUGUGUGGUGUUUGUGUCUCCUCUCAAUUGCUCUGUUUAUUGCAGUUCUGAGUGUUGCUGGGUCAGGUUUGGUUUUGGAAUUUAUUGCAUUGUUAUUGUAUUGCUGUGUAUUGUUUUGUUGGAUUGAUUAAAAAAAAAAAAAAUUGGGGGGGAAAA